UACGAAGGGGGCUAGCGUUGUUCGGAAUUACUGGGCGUAAAGGGUUUGUAGGCGGUCUUUUAAGCCAGUGGUGAAAGCCCGGGGCUUAACCCCGGAAUUGCCAUUGGUACUGGAAGGCUAGAGAGUGUUAGAGGAAAGUGGAAUUCCUAGUGUAGGAGUGAAAUCCGUAGAGAUUAGGAGGAAUAUCGAUGGCGAAGGCAGCUUUCUGGGACAUUUCUGACGCUGAGAAACGAAAGCGUGGGUAGCAAACAGG
RNAcentral lists this ribosomal RNA (253 nucleotides) under uncultured bacterium. RNAcentral's name for it is "partial 16S ribosomal RNA". It matches the Rfam family "Bacterial small subunit ribosomal RNA", at positions 524 to 776 of the family's 1533-position model. The record is from RNAcentral.